Long non-coding RNA from Helianthus annuus (common sunflower), 267 nucleotides. RefSeq lists it as uncharacterized. The transcript has 2 exons. The record is from RefSeq and is a predicted model, not a curated record. Lineage: Eukaryota; Viridiplantae; Streptophyta; Magnoliopsida; Asterales; Asteraceae.
UUUAUCAAUAUUCACUUUUAGGGUUUCUGAUGAGUAGAGCCGAUAACGACCAAAGCCACGCCGGGUAGCAGGAGUCAAGUUGAUAAUGACCAAAGUCAUGCCGCAUGACACGAGGGAAAACCAAUCAUACUUCUGCGGUGUAGCACGAGGGAAAAACCCAGUAUUGAUAUUCUCUUUUUUCGACCUUCGCUUUUAUGGUUUCCGACGAGUGUAACUGUAACGCUCCAAAACCCAAAUGACUAAUUCACGAACAUGUUUCCUUUUUCA